This 1441-nucleotide ribosomal RNA is filed under the name uncultured organism. RNAcentral's name for it is "16S ribosomal RNA". It matches the Rfam family "Bacterial small subunit ribosomal RNA". The record is from RNAcentral.
CAGGCUUAACACAUGCAAGUCGAGGGGCAGCAUGGUCUUAGCUUGCUAAGGCCGAUGGCGACCGGCGCACGGGUGAGUAACACGUAUCCAACCUGCCGUCUACUCUUGGACAGCCUUCUGAAAGGAAGAUUAAUACAAGAUGGCAUCAUGAGUCCGCAUGUUCACAUGAUUAAAGGUAUUCCGGUAGACGAUGGGGAUGCGUUCCAUUAGAUAGUAGGCGGGGUAACGGCCCACCUAGUCUUCGAUGGAUAGGGGUUCUGAGAGGAAGGUCCCCCACAUUGGAACUGAGACACGGUCCAAACUCCUACGGGAGGCAGCAGUGAGGAAUAUUGGUCAAUGGGCGAGAGCCUGAACCAGCCAAGUAGCGUGAAGGAUGACUGCCCUAUGGGUUGUAAACUUCUUUUAUAAAGGAAUAAAGUCGGGUAUGCAUACCCGUUUGCAUGUACUUUAUGAAUAAGGAUCGGCUAACUCCGUGCCAGCAGCCGCGGUAAUACGGAGGAUCCGAGCGUUAUCCGGAUUUAUUGGGUUUAAAGGGAGCGUAGAUGGAUGUUUAAGUCAGUUGUGAAAGUUUGCGGCUCAACCGUAAAAUUGCAGUUGAUACUGGAUAUCUUGAGUGCAGUUGAGGCAGGCGGAAUUCGUGGUGUAGCGGUGAAAUGCUUAGAUAUCACGAAGAACUCCGAUUGCGAAGGCAGCCUGCUAAGCUGCAACUGACAUUGAGGCUCGAAAGUGUGGGUAUCAAACAGGAUUAGAUACCCUGGUAGUCCACACGGUAAACGAUGAAUACUCGCUGUUUGCGAUAUACAGCAAGCGGCCAAGCGAAAGCGUUAAGUAUUCCACCUGGGGAGUACGCCGGCAACGGUGAAACUCAAAGGAAUUGACGGGGGCCCGCACAAGCGGAGGAACAUGUGGUUUAAUUCGAUGAUACGCGAGGAACCUUACCCGGGCUUAAAUUGCAGAUGAAUUACGGUGAAAGCCGUAAGCCGCAAGGCAUCUGUGAAGGUGUUGCAUGGUUGUCGUCAGCUCGUGCCGUGAGGUGUCGGCUUAAGUGCCAUAACGAGCGCAACCCUUGUUGUCAGUUACUAACAGGUUCCGCUGAGGACUCUGACAAGACUGCCAUCGUAAGAUGUGAGGAAGGUGGGGAUGACGUCAAAUCAGCACGGCCCUUACGUCCGGGGCUACACACGUGUUACAAUGGGGGGGUACAGAGGGCCGCUACCACGCGAGUGGAUGCCAAUCCCAAAAACCUCUCUCAGUUCGGACUGGAGUCUGCAACCCGACUCCACGAAGCUGGAUUCGCUAGUAAUCGCGCAUCAGCCACGGCGCGGUGAAUACGUUCCCGGGCCUUGUACACACCGCCCGUCAAGCCAUGGGAGCCGGGGGUACCUGAAGUGCGUAACCGCGAGGAGCGCCCUAGGGUAAAACUGGUGACUGGGGCUAAGUC